GGGCAGUGGAGUGGGGAUGUCCACAUUCCGCUUGGCGUGCUUUGCCACCCCUUCUCUCACCCUCGUCAGUGAGCCAGGCUUCUUGACAAAAAGGUGGCACCAGGUUUUCCCCAGCAGGAGCCCAGGAGCUCAGGAAGGUCGUGCUGCCCGGGGACGCCCGAGGACGGACAGCCAGCCAGGAUACCUCCUCAUGGCCACCACCCCUAUGAGAUCACACCGCCGGAGCCACCCGGGGCCUUGGCACCAGAUCACAGUCUUCCUUCUCCCAAACGCCUGCAUGUCCCGGGGGGAUGUCGGCAUCCUCGUGAGUGACACAAUCCUCACCCACCCCUCGUGUGCGUCCCACGCCUUUUCAGAGCCAAUGGCCAUCACUGCUGCUCCAUGCUGCACUCCGACCCUCACUUUUAUCCCAAAUGUUGAGGAUUCCCCGAGCCGGCUGACCAUCAGUGCCAUCUGGGGAGCUUCCAAGCACGGAUUCCCAGGUCCCACAGGCUCUAGAAAUGAGACCCCAGAACUGGGUCUGGCUUCCUGGUGGUUGGCCAGGUUGGGGACCUCUGGAACUUGUCAUCCUCUGUUGUGGUUCUCUUUGGAAUUCAGCCUGACAGUAGCCUCCCCGGGCCACAGCCUGCCACCUCCAGGCCCCUGCCUCACUGUCCCUGAGUGUCCUCAUCAAGUCACGGAGGUCCCAGGCCUCUGUCUCCCUCCUGCCCACCAGCUUCCUCCUGUCUCAGUCUAGAACAGGAGCCACACUUCGAUGCUCGCGCCCCUACCCUCAUCCCUGGCCCCUGCU
This 790-nucleotide long non-coding RNA is filed under the name Vulpes vulpes (red fox). RNAcentral's name for it is "lncRNA (ENSVVUG00000015181.1)". Lineage: Eukaryota; Metazoa; Chordata; Mammalia; Carnivora; Canidae. The record is from RNAcentral.